CAGCCGCCGCGGUAAUACGUAGGUGGCAAGCGUUGUCCGGAAUUAUUGGGCGUAAAGCGCGCGCAGGUGGUUUAAUAAGUCUGAUGUGAAAGCCCACGGCUCAACCGUGGAGGGUCAUUGGAAACUGUUAAACUUGAGUGCAGAAGAGGAGAGUGGAAUUCCACGUGUAGCGGUGAAAUGCGUAGAGAUGUGGAGGAACACCAGUGGCGAAGGCGACUCUCUGGUCUGUAACUGACGCUGAGGAGCGAAAGCGUGGGGAGCGAACAGGAUUAGAUACCCCCGUAGUCCCUGUCUCUUAUAC
Molecule: ribosomal RNA, 301 nt
Filed under: uncultured bacterium
Lineage: Bacteria
Description: partial 16S ribosomal RNA
Rfam family: Bacterial small subunit ribosomal RNA
Source: RNAcentral